RNAcentral lists this ribosomal RNA (251 nucleotides) under uncultured bacterium. RNAcentral's name for it is "partial 16S ribosomal RNA". It matches the Rfam family "Bacterial small subunit ribosomal RNA", at positions 524 to 776 of the family's 1533-position model. The record is from RNAcentral.
GACGAACCGAGCGAACGUUAUUCGGAAUCACUGGGCUUAAAGGGCGCGUAGGCGGGCCGGCGAGUCCGGGGUGAAAGCCCCCAGCCCAACUGGGGAAGUGCCUCGGAUACUGCCGGCCUCGAGGGAGGUAGGGCGUGCGGAACUUCCGGUGGAGCGGUGAAAUGCGUAGAUAUCGGAAGGAACACCGGUGGCGAAAGCGGCGCGCUGGACCUCUUCUGACGCUGAGGCGCGAAAGCCAGGGAGCGAACGGG